CCAGUCCUGUUAAUUUCUCCGAUUCUCCAAAAUUCAAGCUAACUCCAACGAGUGGUCGUCUUUACCCAUUUCUAUUGGUGUAUGUAUAAACACAAUGUGGUGGGUACAUAUGAGUUGCAAUUCUUCUGAUAUAAUUUCUUGCUGGAAGUUUUCAUGGAUGGUAAUUGUGAACCAUAUUCUUCGUUAUCCUUGGUCUGUGUUUCUUUUCUGCUGUUGCGAUAUAACUCGGUGAGCAUGUAAAAAUUUGAUUUUAAUAUUUUUAGAACAUGACUUAGAAACCUUCAUUCUAUUUCUGAGGUUCUCUAUGGAUUUGUAUUUGUUUUUCUUCUGCUUUUUCUUUUUUUGUUCAAUUAAGUGUACCAUGUUAUACUUUUUAUGGAUGAUAUAUAUUUCUACAUGCAUUGGAUUAUUUGUUCAAACGCCUCUUAUGAAAAUUCUCUGAAUAGGUACAUACUUUGUUGCAACAUUGUGCAUAUUGAUGUAGCUAAGAUGCUUGAUAAUAUGCCUCUUUUUCUUUUCCCCAUAAGAGUAAUAUAGCUUACAUAUCGAUCUGCAAUCCAAAGAACAUGUCAAAGAAUAUGCCGUUGUGUUAAAGAAUUGCUUUUUGAAAUUAAAUCCAUUUGCUUCCUUUUAAGAAAAUCCAAUUGCUUCCAUGUAUAUUUCUAUUGCAAUGUAGCUAUCUAGCUUUAUUCCAACGGAGGUUAGACAUAAAGAAAUGUGCUCAUAAUCCUCAUGUUAUUAUUGCAGUUACGAAGUUAAUUUGGCAAGAGAGGAAGAUGGAUGAAUCCACAAAAUCGAUUGGAUAGGAUGUUGACUCUUGCACCAGAUAUUGGCAAUUUCUAUGCAUUUUUUGUUACAAUUUUGAAGAGCAUUAUGGUACUGAAGAGCAGAGGAAUGAUGUGCUGAAGAGAUGUGUUAUAGGAUCAAAGCAUGGUAAAACUAACGUAAAUACAGUUAUCUAAUAGCAUUGAAGCCAUGAUCAAGAAGGUGAGAACUUUACAACUUGACUUAACCUCUCUUGAAUCAGUCCUCUACCUAUGAGCACAAGCAUUAACAUAGUUAUCAUCAUUUUCAUCAGAAUCAAAAGUUUGAUCCAAAAUUCUAAAAUAUUGCAUAAACUAGGAUGUGAGAGUUCUAAAAGCUAACACAACUAUCAAAAUUUUAAAAAAAAGAACAACACUCGGAUAAUACAUCCAAGAAGCAUCUAGAAGUCUCAUAAACAUAUGAAGAAAGUUAACCUGAAUGUUUGCGGUUGUAUACCUGCCAAUGUUAGUUUGCAUUGGAAGUUGUUUAGAAUGUGAGUUGCAUGUACAAUAUAAAUACAUUAGCAUGUGGUUCACACUAGAAGUAUACACCUUCUUGCCGUGUGAUAACUCCAGACUAAUAAUUCCACAUGGGAUAAGAGUUCAAAUACAUUACAGGCUGGCUAGCAAAAUGAAGACCUGUAUGAGCACUUUUAUGAACCUUUGUCACCAUAUAAAAGAGUUUAUAAUAAAAUGUCUAAUGAGCUUACUGGAUAAUGUCUCACAAAUUCCAUAAUAAUAAUUUUAUCUUAAAAUAAGUGAAUACUUUACCAGAUAUAGAUGCCAUUGAUAAUUUUGCAUCUGUUAUUGAAGUCGACAUUCACAAAUCCCGCAACUUAAGGUCAAAUCUUAGUAGUAGACAUCGCUUAAAUCUCACAAAUUUAAUAAGCAGAGCAUAUUAGUCAUUUGAUGCAAUUCAAACGUCUCCUUCCUGAAUCUUCUUUUUUGUUUCUUAGUGAUUAUUUCUUAUAUAUAUGAUUUAAAGCUAACCCGAUUACUAUUUUCUUUGUACGUUGAUGAUAAUCUUUCUUUGUCAGAUGCUUCCAAGUAUGUCCUUAAGACUCGUGAAAUUCUGAAUUUUGUAGUUUAUAGCAUCUGCUAUAAUACUUAUAGUGAACAGGAAUGUAUUAUUGCUGGUAAUGGACUUGAGGCUUGCUACUCUGAUAGGGAACUGACAGCUAUUCGAGCAAGUUUUCGGCACCGGAUACUCUUUCGAGGAUAUCAUUAACAUUGAGAGCUUCUCUUAUCAUUUUGGAGUCAUUGACUUGAGUUAAACUGAUAGAUAGAAAGGGGACCUGAAGACGGAAGCCAGAAAGAUUUAAUUUUACGUAUAAAAACACAUUGGUAAUUUCUAUGCUCUGGUAAUUGAUUAAGAAUUUUAUCUCCGUCCCAUGAUACCAGUAGAUGAUAUAAGAAUCUGCUAAAGAGAGGAUACUAACAGAGUGUAAAGCUUGCCUCAAAGUUAAAAUAAAAGAAGAAUGUAGAAGUUGAUAGAUUGAGCAUCAAUAUUUUUUUUUGGUCAAACAUGAUGCUUAUAUUAAAAUAACUUAAGUAACAUUACAGGGAGUGGUGGGCCUUGACGGCUCCAAGUUACAAAAAGAUGCCAAGACUGGCGGAACAUAGUGUUCCGAACAAUUACAAGCAUUGGAUGGGAAAUUCAAAUCAAAAAAUGGAGGAUCAGUGGCAUGGUUAGGUGAAAAGCGCCAUAGCUGCAAAGUGCCAGUUUGAUCAAUCGUCAUUUCUGGCAACAAAAAAGUUGGUGGAUGCAAAAACAUCGUAGUAGCAUUCCCCAUCUCUAGAGUUGUGCCGUGUUUUGCUAAUUUGUCCGCCACCUCAUUUAGCUCCCUAGAUGUGUACGAUACUCUUGGCUUACCCAGCUGGUGGAGGAGGGACCUGCAUUCAUGAAGUAUAGAUGAGUAUUGAAGAUUAUGGUUUCGGAGCAUAUUGAUUACCUCUGUAGAGUCGAUAUGUAUUUCUAGCGGCAUCAAAUGAUGUUGUAAGGCGAUGCAGAGUCCUUCAAGUAAAGCACAAAGUUCCAUAGAUGUAGGAUUUCCGUAAUUACGUCGUGCUGCAUAACCCAUUAUCCAUUGCCCUUCCGAGUUUCUGAAUACACCACCCAGACCAUUUUUUGAGUAAUGGUGUCGCAUGCUCUGUCUGAGUUAAGUUUAUAAAAGCCCUGCACUGGGGGGUUCCAUUUUAUGUAUUGUGAGGAUGCAACAUUUCGUAUGCGUUUGCUGUUGUGUAUUAGGUAUGCAUAUUCCGUAGCCUUAGAAAUUAUAUGUUGCGUAUUAGGGUAAAUUCUAGUUUUUUCAAAAAUACUUCGAUUGCGACUUUUCCAUACGUGCCAAAGUGCAUAAGGAAUGAGUGUUUGGGACAAUAGAUUUUGUGGAAGUGGUUGUUGAAUUGUUACGAAUUGGAAUAGUCGUUGUAGAGGGUCUUCCUGAAAAUUAUUGAGCAAGUGAACGUGGGCAUGUAGACCCAAGUUAUGCCAUACUAUCUGUGCGUUUGGGCAAUGGAGUAGGAGGUGUUCUAUGUUUUCAUUUGCUCUAUUACAAAUGCCGCAUAUAGGGGUAGUAGUAAUGUUGAGUUUAUGGAGGUAGCUUGCAGUAGGUAGUCGAUGGUGGCUUAAAAACCAUAUGAAGUGUUUGAUUCUUGGAGGUGUUGGUAAUCUCCAAAUCCAUUUGAAGGUAGAGUUUGAGGGGGAGUUGUGCAAUUUGUGGUAUAAGGAUUUUACUGUGAGUACCUCCGUUGGGGUGAGACCCAGAUGAGGUCGAAAGAGGUGGGGUUUGCUAUGGUAGGUAUGCAGAUGUAGGAUAAUGAUUUUUUGAAUUGUGGUGGUAAUUCGAAAGGAAUGAGUUACAAGUUUAUAGUGUUGUGGGAGAUAUAGUUUGCAACCGUGGAUUUUAUGUCGUGUUGUGGUAGUGGGCCCUCGAUGAGUUGGCGGAAAACUACUUUGGGCCCCAGCCAAGGUUCCGUCCAAAAUUUGACGUGGAUACCAUUGGAGAUGUUCCAUGUUGGACCAUCUUGACAGUAAGACCAUCCUUGUUGGAGAGUCUUCCAAGUAGGUGUUAUAUUGUGAGGUUUUACGAGUUAAAUAUUUAGUUAAGAGGAUUGAUGCCCAGUGUGAGAGGGGUGAAUUGAAUAAUCUCCAGGCUUGGGCGCCAAGAAGUGCAUGAUUUUUGUCAGUUACGUUAGGAAUUCCCAGUCCACCAUCUUGUUGAUCUAGUUGGACAGUUUUCCAGUUUAUCAGAUGAAGCUUUCUUUUUUGUUGUGUAGUUCCCCAAAGGAAAUCUCUUUGAUAUUUUUCUAGGAUAUGUGUGAUAUAAUGAGGAAUUUGUAUUAAUUGCAUGAGGUGAUUCGGAAGACAGUUAAGCGUUGCUUUUAUGAGAGUUGUGCGACCUGCCAUGAUGAGCGUAUUAGUUUUCCAUCCUGUCAGUCAAAGUUUGAAUUUGUCCAAGAGGAAUUGAAAAUUUGACUUUGUGGGUGUGUUGUGUGAAUAUCAGGAAUCGUAGGUAUUUUCCAAAAUGUGUUCCUUCUUUCAUGUUGAAUGAAUAUAGAACAAAGUCUUUAUCUCCGGGCGUGACAUUGUGUGAGAAGAAAACUUUUGACUUGUUGUAGUUGAUGGAUUGGCCUGAAGCAUUUGUGAAAACGGUGAGGGUGUCAGUAAUAGAGUGGAUACUUUUGGUAUUUAAUUUGGAAAUCAGAGUGAUAUCGUCUGCAAAGAAGAGGUGGGAUAUUUGUGGACCGUUGUUAGAUAGUUUUAUGGGAUGCCAAUGCCUAUAAUCCACAUCGGAGUGAAUUUUACGAGUCAACAUUUCUAGGCACAAGAUAAAUAGAUAGGGGGAGAGAGGGUCUCCUUGACGGAUUUCCCUGGUUGGAUUGAAGAAAGGGGUAAGGGCACCAUUAAUAAGAAUGGAAAUUGUGGAGGAUGCGAUGCAUGACAUAAUUAGUUUGAUUAAAUUGUGUGGAAAGUUAAAGUAUACGAGGGUGUCACGUAUAAAGCCCCAUUCUAGUUUAUCAACAACCCUUUCUAGAUCUAAUUUUAAAAGGAAUUCUCCUUGCUUC
RNAcentral lists this long non-coding RNA (4868 nucleotides) under Nicotiana tabacum (common tobacco). Its description in RNAcentral is "long non-coding RNA (NTAB_LNC011443)". The record is from RNAcentral. Lineage: Eukaryota; Viridiplantae; Streptophyta; Magnoliopsida; Solanales; Solanaceae.